Molecule: long non-coding RNA, 1687 nt
Organism: Aegilops tauschii subsp. strangulata
Lineage: Eukaryota; Viridiplantae; Streptophyta; Magnoliopsida; Poales; Poaceae
Source: RefSeq, a predicted model, not a curated record
ACGCACCCACGCACGCACGCCCCCGCACGACCUCUCGCCCCCUCCUCAUCCUCCCACCCGACGCCACAGCAUGGGCCGGGACGCCGUUCGCCGAUCCUCCCGCGCCAUUCGCCGCCCAAGUGGUUUGCCGCCCCGCCGCCCCCCUGUCCUCCCGCGCCGUCGCCGCCCCCCUGUCCUCCCGCGCCGUCGCCGCCUGCCGUUCUCUCCUCCCGUGUCUCCUGCCGCUUGCCCCACAUCAUGGUGCGCCAUGGGUACCAUCCAGAUUGAGUACGGGGCACGGGCACGAGAGGCGCCGCGCUCCCUUCCCUGCACCGCUCUGCUGCUUUCGCUUCCAAGAAUACCGUCCUCCCACAAGAGCUUGAAUCGUCUGCCCGUGGUCGCAAUUUCCUGGCGUCUUCUGCUUCUUCUUUCUUUGGAUCCCUAGCUAGCGAGUCCGUUUCUUCCUCUGAAUUUUUAUGCAUUCACUAGCAAGCAACACUUUGUUUUAGCUGUAGCCAAUUCAGACGGUGAGUGGUACAGAUCACUAGCUAGCCGAGUCUGCCUCUUCCUCUGAAUUUCUCCUCAUUUACUAGCGAGAUGUAGUGUGAUUCUAGAAAAACGUAUUAACGAGAUGAAACUUGUGAUUUCUUCAGUAAACAAUACGUGUUAGAUUUUACUCCAAUUUCUUGUGCAAAUUUCAUUUUGAUACAUGUAGAGCAGCGGCGACAGCUCCGACGCAACGGGCUUGGCCUGCGUCGGCGGCGGCGGGGUCCGUCUCCUCCCUCGAGCAGCGGUGGUGGCGUGGGACACAGCAGGCUCGGCCGCGAAGAUGGAUUUCUCCGGCGGGGCAUUUUAAAAUGCUAAUGUGCCGAUGAAUCCUCGCCUCUGUUCCUCGACCUCGCGUCAGGGACGCAUAUGCCCCUGCGGCCGUUCCUCCUCGUGGUCAGUGACGCAAAGCCGAUGACACGGGAGCCGCUGCCGUUGUUCCUCUACGCGACAGUGAUACACACGGCGUAGCCUCUCCCUGAUCCUAUACCCGUGCCUUGUUCAUCCAUAUGUGAUCUUAUUUUGUUUCAGUUUUUUGCUAGCUUUAACAUUGGCCUUUGUUCAAAUCCUAUUCAGGUUGAACCAUAGAAAGCGAGCACACAAAGCUGCAGAGGCAACCAGUCCAAAGGAAUAAGUAAGGUCAUGCCAGUUCAUUCAACUGUUCAAGCUCAACUAAGUGUUGCAUUGAAAUUUGCAAGUAACCUUGCUUCAACAGAAGAGAAUUGGGUGAUGGACGUGAUAUCAACAUGGUUAUGGACUACCAUGUAUGUUCAUAAAUAUGUACACCCUUUGGGGUCGGGCCCGCCGCCACCACGGACUAGGCCGGCGGCAGCGGCGGCAGGAGGGGAGAUGGGAGGGACCUGGCGGCACAAGGGUUGGGGUCCCCUGGCGUCGCCCAAGGGAGGCGACGCGAGGGGGUAAGGAGACACAACUUGGAACAUGGUAAUUUCUGUUUAGGCUCUUACCUUUUGUAUUUGCACAAUGGUUGAUUUCCGUUUGGAAUGUUCAGGUACAUAAAGUUAGAGUAGUGGAGUAAAGCUUAAGAUUUUUUUGUAUGAUUAAUUCCUGAGAUGAGAAAGCUUAUACAUGGAAUAACUCGGUUUCUUGAUCUGUACAUAAAAUAUGUGUGAUAUUUGAUUCAAGAGGAAUAUUGAUUCAUGAA